RNAcentral lists this long non-coding RNA (242 nucleotides) under Mustela putorius furo (domestic ferret). RNAcentral's name for it is "lncRNA (ENSMPUG00000032012.1)". Lineage: Eukaryota; Metazoa; Chordata; Mammalia; Carnivora; Mustelidae. The record is from RNAcentral.
UUGACCACCUUGCCUUCUCUUCUCUUUCACAGCAAAGUUUGGAGUAAUCUUCCAUCCAUCAGAACAGAGAUUGCUGACCAUCCCCAGCAAGUGGUGACCCCAACAUGACCGUUUUGCGACAGACACCAUACCGAUUGCCCCAAAACGAAAAAUCUGCAUGUAGGGAUGCCUCGAGUGGCUUUGACACCAGGAAUCUCUGACAUAUCCCACAUGGAAUGCCACCUAAGUAGAGGAUUUCCUAG